GCUUAACACAUGCAAGUCGAGCGAGAAUCGUUUAUUGAAGGCUUCGGCUGGAAAUAGAUGAGGAAAGCGGCGAACGGGUGAGUAACGCGUGGGCAACCUGGCCUUAAGAAAAGGAUAGCCCCCGGAAACGGGGAGUAAUACUUUAUGAGAAUGAAAGAGGGCAUCCUACUUUCAUUCAAAGCGCAAGCGCUUAAGGAUGGGCCCGCGUAUCAUUAGCUAGUUGGUGAGAUAACAGCCAACCAAGGCAACGAUGAUUAGCCGGGCUGAGAGGGCGAACGGCCACAUUGGAACUGAGAGACGGUCCAAACUCCUACGGGAGGCAGCAGUGGGGAAUAUUGCGCAAUGGAGAAGAACUCUGACGCAGCAAUACCGCGUGAGCGAAGAAGGUCUUCGGAUCGUAAAGCUCUGUUAUCAGGGAAGAAGAAAAUGACGGUACCUGAUGAGCAAGUCCCGGCUAACUACGUGCCAGCCGCCGCAGUAA
Molecule: ribosomal RNA, 481 nt
Filed under: uncultured bacterium
Lineage: Bacteria
Description: partial 16S ribosomal RNA
Rfam family: Bacterial small subunit ribosomal RNA
Source: RNAcentral